Cuculus canorus (common cuckoo) is the source of this 322-nucleotide long non-coding RNA. RefSeq lists it as uncharacterized. The transcript has 4 exons. NCBI's taxonomy places the organism in Eukaryota, Metazoa, Chordata, Aves, Cuculiformes, Cuculidae. The record is from RefSeq and is a predicted model, not a curated record.
GAAUAUAAAGAAUACGUCCAACAGAAAGUACCCAAAAGCCAUGGAAAAGAAAAGCUAAAUGCAUAUGCUCAGAGAAAAAGACCUUAGCUGACUCACUGUGAACCUUAAUUAUACAUCUCCUGAGCAGCUUGGAGAGAGCUGGGCAAAAGCUGCUGUCGAGGUUUGACUUUCAUCUGAAUCUAUUACUCAAUGUGGUUUUCCAUGGCUGGAUGAAGGGGAGAGCAUUCCACUCUUGGGAAUUUCUGUAUGUGUGUGGAAGAUUAAAACACCUCUUACUUGAUAUAAGGUGCUUUGAAGACCUGUGCCAGGAGAUACUUCUGGU